AGCGUAGACGGACUGGCAAGUCUGAUGUGAAAGGCGGGGGCUCAACCCCUGGACUGCAUUGGAAACUGUUAGUCUUGAGUGCCGGAGAGGUAAGCGGAAUUCCUAGUGUGGCGGUGAAAUGCGUAGAUAUUAGGAGGAACACCAGUGGCGAAGGCGGCUUACUGGACGGUAACUGACGUUGAGGCUCGAAAGCGUGGGGAGCAAACA
This 207-nucleotide ribosomal RNA is filed under the name uncultured bacterium. RNAcentral describes it as "partial 16S ribosomal RNA". It matches the Rfam family "Bacterial small subunit ribosomal RNA", at positions 568 to 774 of the family's 1533-position model. The record is from RNAcentral.